UACGUAGGGGGCUAGCGUUGUCCGGAUUUAUUGGGCGUAAAGAGCGUGUAGGUGGCUUUAUAAGUCCGUUGUGAAAGUCAAAGGCUCAACCUUUGAAAGCCGAUGGAUACUGUGAAGCUAGAGUACGGAAGAGGCGAGUGGAAUUCCUGGUGUAGCGGUGGAAUGCGCAGAUAUCAGGAGGAACACCAAUAGCGAAGGCAGCUCGCUGGGACGUUACUGACACUGAGGCGCGAAAGCGUGGGGAGCGAACAGG
RNAcentral lists this ribosomal RNA (253 nucleotides) under uncultured bacterium. Its description in RNAcentral is "partial 16S ribosomal RNA". It matches the Rfam family "Bacterial small subunit ribosomal RNA", at positions 524 to 776 of the family's 1533-position model. The record is from RNAcentral.